Molecule: transfer RNA, 91 nt
Filed under: Candidatus Omnitrophota bacterium
Lineage: Bacteria; Pseudomonadati; Candidatus Omnitrophota
Description: tRNA-Ser
Rfam family: tRNA
About the family: Transfer RNA (tRNA) molecules are approximately 80 nucleotides in length. Their secondary structure includes four short double-helical elements and three loops (D, anti-codon, and T loops). Further hydrogen bonds mediate the characteristic L-shaped molecular structure. tRNAs have two regions of fundamental functional importance: the anti-codon, which is responsible for specific mRNA codon recognition, and the 3' end, to which the tRNAs corresponding amino acid is attached (by aminoacyl-tRNA synthetases). tRNAs cope with the degeneracy of the genetic code in two manners: having more than one tRNA (with a specific anti-codon) for a particular amino acid; and 'wobble' base-pairing, i.e. permitting non-standard base-pairing at the 3rd anti-codon position.
Source: RNAcentral
GGAAGGGUGGCCGAGUGGUUUAAGGCGCCGGUUUGCUAAACCGGUGUACGAUCGUAAGGUUGUACCUGGGGUUCAAAUCCCCACCCUUCCG